GAGAAAGGUCUAGGGUGACUCCAAGCGCCUCUCUGUAGACAUGCCCCUGCUCGUGUUCCCGACACCCUACAAGACUGGAGCCAUGAUCGCCUUCGUUUAACAGGGGAAGAAAUGGAGACCCAGAGAAGGGCAGCAGCGUGCUCAAGGUCACACAGCGAGUGGCAGCAGAUCCUGCGUUUGCACCAGGUCAGCCUGACGUCCAAGGUCUUUCCUGCAAACAGCUGUCCAAGCUCAGCAGGCAGCAGGUGAGCCAAGGAAAGACCAUGUGAGUCCACAACGAGAAGGCAGUCGUCUACAAGUCAGGAAGAGAGCUCUGCUCAGAAACUGAAUCAGCUAGCACCUUGAUCUUGAACUUCCUGGACUCUAAACGAUGGGGAGACUGAGGCCCCACCACCAGAGGCAGAACCUUGGGGCCUGCCCACCAGCUCUCCAGGGCCCGUCCCAUUGGUCAUGGACACCAAGGCUGGCCCAACUAGAGAGGUCUCCGGCACCUGCCUUGGGGAGGAGUCUGGACCCUCCUCCCCUCGCUACCCCACCCACCCUCCAUCACCAUGGCAACCAUGCAGAUGAAGAAAUAAUCUCAGAAAGAUUAACCAGUUUGCUCAGAGUCAUGCAGUAGGCUCCUGCUCUGUCUGCACCGGGCCUCAUCUCCAAACUCAGCUCCUCAGGUGUGCUGGCCCUUCCUCUCCAUCCGGCCUGCGGAUCACAGAAGCUUAGUCCCAGCUGUCUGGAGAGAAACCGGUCUGCAUGAUAGAGGAGCAUGGCCCACCGCUCCACAGCUGCUACACCACGUCAAGAUUUGAACUCGUGCUCGUCUUCCCCGAAACAGUCCAGGUCGGGUAACGUGACCCUUCUCUUUUCUCCUAAUUGGAAGUCUGGGGAAGGGAGUCACCACGUCUCCACGCGAAGCUCUGUGCCACGUGCAUCACACACGUCGUCGGUUUGGAACCGAGGUUCUCCUCCUUUUCCAGAUGGGGAAACUGAAGCUCGGGGGGACGAUGGGAACUGCCCAAGACGUGUGAUCGAUCAUUGGUGGGGUGAGAUGACGCUGUUCAUUUCCCUCCUGCCCAUCUCCCUGCAGGAACGGUGCCCAUUUAUCCUGGAACUCUGGUGCCCAGCCCGGGCCGGGCACACAGGAAUAGUAGAAUGAAUGAAUGAAUGAAUGAGGCAGCUAUACUAGAGGAGUGCCAGGGUUAGAGUAUACCCCACCCCUUCCAUUACUGGCCCUCAGACCCCUAAGUUGACUCCCUAUCCCUGUCCCUUACUGACCCACCUGCCUGGCUGGAUGACCUCUCACCUCUGCCCGUGGCUCCAGAUGACCCUGGGGGCUUCUGGUCGGGGCCCAAAUCCAUCAUUCCUGACUGGUUUGUUCCAGCCCUGCCUCCUCCCAUCCAUCUUCUCACCGCAGCUAGAGAGAAGGGGGUGGUGCUGGGGGGCAGGAGGAGGGUCCCACUCCAGAAAACUCUUGGACCGGCUGAAGUCCUCUCCAGUGCCCACCUCCGCCACCUCCCACGCAGUCACUCCCUCCCUGCAGAGCGUUUGGUCAAAUACCUUGGAACCCAACAUAUAAGACCGCCAAAGGCAGAGGGCUCUAGCUAGAGGGUGCAGGACGUGAAGGAGUCCUGCCUGGUGCCCCACCCGCCCCCUUUGCGUCCAAGUAGCCCCCAGGGUGGAGCACCCCCCACCACCAUCGAGAACCUCCAGGAAGCCAUGGAGAACAACUCCGUCCUGGGGACCAGGAGACCUGGGUUUCAUUUCCAGUCCAGCUACUGGCUCACUGUGUAACCUGGAGUUACACCGUCUCUCUAACCUCAGUUUCCCCAUCUACAACACGAGAGGGUUGAACUCAGUUUUCAGGCUUUUAUGACUAGAACAGUGGAAACCUUUCAUUCAAAUUAAAUCACAUGCUGAACUCCGA
Herpailurus yagouaroundi (jaguarundi) is the source of this 1918-nucleotide long non-coding RNA. RefSeq lists it as uncharacterized. The record is from RefSeq and is a predicted model, not a curated record. The transcript has 6 exons. Lineage: Eukaryota; Metazoa; Chordata; Mammalia; Carnivora; Felidae.